AGAGGUGGCAAGCGUUGUUCGGAAUUACUGGGCGUAAAGGGCGCGUAGGCGGCCUUCUUAGUCGGACGUGAAAUCCCCAGGCUCAACUUGGGAACUGCGUCCGAUACUGGAGGGCUUGAGUGCGGGAGAGGGAUGUGGAAUUCCAGGUGUAGCGGUGAAAUGCGUAGAUAUCUGGAGGAACACCGGUGGCGAAGGCGGCAUCCUGGACCGACACUGACGCUGAUGCGCGAAAGCUAGGGGAUCAAACGGGAUUAGAUACCCCGGUAGUCCUAGCCCUAAACGAUGAGUGCUUGGUGUGGCGGGUAUCGAUCCCUGCCGUGCCGAAGCUAACGCAUUAAGCACUCCGCCUGGGGAGUACGGUCGCAAGGCUG
RNAcentral lists this ribosomal RNA (371 nucleotides) under uncultured bacterium. RNAcentral describes it as "bacterial SSU rRNA". It matches the Rfam family "Bacterial small subunit ribosomal RNA", at positions 527 to 896 of the family's 1533-position model. The record is from RNAcentral.